AAUCAACGCUGGCGGCGUGCCUAACACAUGCAAGUCGAACGCGAAAAGGGGCUUCGGCUCUUAGUAGAAGUGGCAAACGGGUGAGUAACACGUGGGUGACCUACCUUCGAAUGGGGGAUAACGUCCCGAAAGGGACGCUAAUACCGCAUAACAUCCUGCCUUUGGAACAGGUGGAGAUCAAAGCCGGGGGAUCGCAAGACCUGGCGUUUGAAGAGGGGCCCGCGUCUGAUUAGCUAGUUGGGAGGUACGGC
This 251-nucleotide ribosomal RNA is filed under the name uncultured bacterium. RNAcentral describes it as "partial 16S ribosomal RNA". It matches the Rfam family "Bacterial small subunit ribosomal RNA", at positions 32 to 264 of the family's 1533-position model. The record is from RNAcentral.